RNAcentral lists this ribosomal RNA (506 nucleotides) under uncultured bacterium. Its description in RNAcentral is "partial 16S ribosomal RNA". It matches the Rfam family "Bacterial small subunit ribosomal RNA", at positions 29 to 523 of the family's 1533-position model. The record is from RNAcentral.
AGUGAACGCUGGCGGUAGGCCUAACACAUGCAAGUCGAACGGCAGCGCAAGAGAGCUUGCUCUCUGGGUGGCGAGUGGCGGACGGGUGAGGAAUACAUCGGAAUCUACUUUUUCGUGGGGGAUAACGUAGGGAAACUUACGCUAAUACCGCAUACGACCUACAGGUGAAAGCAGGGGACCUUCGGGCCUUGCGCGAUUGAAUGAGCCGAUGUCGGAUUAGCUAGUUGGCGGGGUAAAGGCCCACCAAGGCGACGAUCCGUAGCUGGUCUGAGAGGAUGAUCAGCCACACUGGAACUGAGACACGGUCCAGACUCCUACGGGAGGCAGCAGUGGGGAAUAUUGGACAAUGGGCGCAAGCCUGAUCCAGCCAUACCGCGUGGGUGAAGAAGGCCUUCGGGUUGUAAAGCCCUUUUGUUGGGAAAGAAAUCCAGCUGGCUAAUACCCGGUUGGGAUGACGGUGCCCAAAGAAUAAGCACCGGCUAACUUCGUGCCAGCCGCCGCCGUAA